GUUGAACGCUGGCGGCAGGCUUAACACAUGCAAGUCGAGCGGUAACAGGAGAAGCUUGCUUCUCGCUGACGAGCGGCGGACGGGUGAGUAAUACUUAGGAAUCUACCUAGUAGUGGGGGAUAGCUCGGGGAAACUCGAAUUAAUACCGCAUACGACCUACGGGAGAAAGGGGGCAACUUGUUGCUCUCGCUAUUAGAUGAGCCUAAGUCGGAUUAGCUAGAUGGUGGGGUAAAGGCCUACCAUGGCGACGAUCUGUAGCUGGUCUGAGAGGAUGAUCAGCCACACCGGGACUGAGACACGGCCCGGACUCCUACGGGAGGCAGCAGUGGGGAAUAUUGGACAAUGGGGGCAACCCUGAUCCAGCCAUGCCGCGUGUGUGAAGAAGGCCUUUUGGUUGUAAAGCACUUUAAGCAGUGAAGAAGACUCCAUGGUUAAUACCCAUGGACGAUGACAUUAGCUGCAGAAUAAGCACCGGCUAACUCUGUGCCAGCAGCCGCGGUAAUACAGAGGGUGCAAGCGUUAAUCGGAAUUACUGGGCGUAAAGCGAGCGUAGGUGGCUUGAUAAGUCAGAUGUGAAAGCCCCGGGCUUAACCUGGGAACGGCAUCUGAUACUGUUAGGCUAAAGUAGGUGAGAGGAAGGUAGAAUUCCAGGUGUAGCCGGUGAAAUGCGUAGAGAUCUGGAGGAAUACCGAUGGCGAAGGCAGCCUUCUGGCAUCAUACUGACACUGAGGUUCGAAAGCGUGGGUAGCAAACAGGAUUAGAUACCCUGGUAGUCCACGCCGUAAACGAUGUCUACUAGUCGUUGGGUCCCUUGAGGACUUAGUGACGCAGCUACGCAAUAAGUAAAC
RNAcentral lists this ribosomal RNA (848 nucleotides) under Psychrobacter sp. AI-1. RNAcentral describes it as "bacterial SSU rRNA". It matches the Rfam family "Bacterial small subunit ribosomal RNA", at positions 28 to 869 of the family's 1533-position model. Lineage: Bacteria; Pseudomonadati; Pseudomonadota; Gammaproteobacteria; Moraxellales; Moraxellaceae. The record is from RNAcentral.